RNAcentral lists this ribosomal RNA (460 nucleotides) under uncultured bacterium. Its description in RNAcentral is "partial 16S ribosomal RNA". It matches the Rfam family "Bacterial small subunit ribosomal RNA", at positions 338 to 795 of the family's 1533-position model. The record is from RNAcentral.
CCUACGGGAGGCAGCAGUGAGGAAUAUUGGUCAAUGGACGAGAGUCUGAACCAGCCAAGUAGCGUGAAGGAUGACUGCCCUCUGGGUUGUAAACUUCUUUUAUAUGGGAAUAAAAUGUUCCACGUGUGGGAUUUUGUAUGUACCAUAUGAAUAAGGCUCGGCUAACUCCGUGCCAGCAGCCGCGGUAAUACGGAGGAUCCGAGCGUUAUCCGGAUUUAUUGGGUUUAAAGGGAGCGUAGGUGGAUUGUUAAGUCAGUUGUGAAAGUUUGCGGCUCAACCGUAAAAUUGCAGUGGAAACUGGCAGUCUGGAGUACAGGAGAGGUGGGCGGAAUUCGUGGUGUAGCGGUGAAAUGCUUAGAUAUCACGAAGAACUCCAAUGGCGAAGGCAGCUCACUGGACUGCAACUGACACUGAGGCUCGAAAGUGUGGGUAUCAAACAGGAUUAGAUACCCCUGUAGUC